This 404-nucleotide ribosomal RNA is filed under the name uncultured bacterium. RNAcentral's name for it is "bacterial SSU rRNA". It matches the Rfam family "Bacterial small subunit ribosomal RNA", at positions 355 to 776 of the family's 1533-position model. The record is from RNAcentral.
UAAGGAAUUUUCCACAAUGGGCGAAAGCCUGAUGGAGCAAUACCGCGUGAAGGAUGAAUGUCUUCGGAUUGUAAACUUCUUUUAUAUGUGAAGAUUAUGACGGUAACAUAUGAAUAAGCAUCGGCUAACUACGUGCCAGCAGCCGCGGUAAUACGUAGGAUGCAAGCGUUAUCCGGAAUUAUUGGGCGUAAAGAGUGUGUAGGUGGUAUGUUAAGUUAAAUGUUAAAUCUCGGGGCUCAACUCAGAGGCUGCAUUUAAUACUGGCAAACUUGAGGUUGUGAGAGGUAAGCGGAAUUAGCGGUGUAGCAGUGAAAUGCGUAGAUAUCGCUAGGAACACCAAUGGCGAAGGCAGCUUACUGGCACAAUCCUGACACUGAGACACGAAAGCGUGGGGAGCGAACGGG